Heterocephalus glaber (naked mole-rat) is the source of this 155-nucleotide small nuclear RNA. Its record names the gene U2. It matches the Rfam family "U2 spliceosomal RNA". Rfam says of the family: U2 is a small nuclear RNA (snRNA) component of the spliceosome (involved in pre-mRNA splicing). The record is from Ensembl. NCBI's taxonomy places the organism in Eukaryota, Metazoa, Chordata, Mammalia, Rodentia, Bathyergidae.
AUCGCUUCUUGGCCUUUUGGCUAAGAUCAAGUGUAGAAUUGAACCAAACUUUUGAACAAAUGGACUUAGUAGAUGUCUACAGACUGUUCCACCCAGCAACAUCAGUAUACACAUUCUUCUCAAGUGCACAUGGGACUUUUUUCAGAAUAAACCAU